GACGAACGCUGGCGGCGUACUUAACACAUGCAAGUCGAACGGAAAGGCCCUGCUUUUGUGGGGUGCUCGAGUGGCGAACGGGUGAGUAACACGUGAGUAACCUGCCCUUGACUUUGGGAUAACUUCAGGAAACUGGGGCUAAUACCGGAUAGGAGCUCCUGCUGCAUGGUGGGGGUUGGAAAGUUUCGGCGGUUGGGGAUGGACUCGCGGCUUAUCAGCUUGUUGGUGGGGUAGUGGCUUACCAAGGCUUUGACGGGUAGCCGGCCUGAGAGGGUGACCGGCCACAUUGGGACUGAGAUACGGCCCAGACUCCUACGGGAGGCAGCAGUGGGGAAUAUUGCACAAUGGGCGGAAGCCUGAUGCAGCAACGCCGCGUGCGGGAUGACGGCCUUCGGGUUGUAAACCGCUUUCGCCUGUGACGAAGCGUGAGUGACGGUAAUGGGUAAAGAAGCACCGGCUAACUACG
Molecule: ribosomal RNA, 466 nt
Filed under: uncultured bacterium
Lineage: Bacteria
Description: partial 16S ribosomal RNA
Rfam family: Bacterial small subunit ribosomal RNA
Source: RNAcentral